UUGGGCUGGUAUGUAUGUUGGCGAAGUUCUGUACCUGUANAGGCCCUUCCAGCCUGUCUCUGCGGGUAACUUCGUGUGUGGGCCGAACCGUGGUUAUUAACACUUGGUUGAAUGGCCUGGCCACUUUCGGGAUAAGCCUUGGUAAACUGGGUUCUUAAUACCGGGAUUAGGACAGCUGUUUAGUGUUCAGUUUGGAAAAUGUUUUCUCGGGUGCAAGAUGAGCUCGCGGCCGUGAUCAAGCUUUUUGUGGGUUAAUGGCCUACCAAGGCGUCGACGGGUAGCCGGCCUGAGAGGGUGUACGGCCACAUUGGGACUGAGAUACGGCCCAGACUCCUACGGGAGGCAGCAUGGGGAAUAUUGCACAAUGGGCGGAAGCCUGAUGCAGCGACGCCGCGUGGGGGAUGAAGGCCUUCGGGUUGUAAACUCCUUUCGACAGGGACGAAGCGUAAGUGACGGUACCUGUAUAAGAAGCACCGGCUAACUACGUGCCAGCAGCCGCGGUAAUACGUAGGGUGCGAGCGUUGUCCGGAAUUACUGGGCGUAAAGAGCUCGUAGGUGGUUUGUCGCGUCGUCUGUGAAAUUCCGGGGCUUAACUCCGGGCGUGCAGGCGAUACGGGCUGACUUGAGUGCUGUAGGGGAGACUGGAAUUCCUGGUGUAGCGGUGAAAUGCGCAGAUAUCAGGAGGAACACCGAUGGCGAAGGCAGGUCUCUGGGCAGUAACUGGCGCUGAGGAGCGAAAGCAUGGGUAGCGAACAGGAUUAGAUACCCUGGUAGUCCAUGCCGUAAACGGUGGGCGCUAGGUGUAGGGGGCUUCCACGUCUUCUGUGCCGUAGCUACGCAUUAAGCGCCCCGCCUGGAGAAGUACGGCCCAAGGCUAA
Molecule: ribosomal RNA, 878 nt
Filed under: uncultured Actinomycetes bacterium
Lineage: Bacteria; Bacillati; Actinomycetota; Actinomycetes
Description: bacterial SSU rRNA
Rfam family: Bacterial small subunit ribosomal RNA
Source: RNAcentral